Carassius carassius (crucian carp) is the source of this 1669-nucleotide long non-coding RNA. RefSeq lists it as uncharacterized. The record is from RefSeq and is a predicted model, not a curated record. NCBI's taxonomy places the organism in Eukaryota, Metazoa, Chordata, Actinopteri, Cypriniformes, Cyprinidae. The transcript is spliced from 4 exons.
AUGUAUUGCUAUUUAAUUGUAUUUAUUUAUUUAUUCAUUCAUUCUUGAUAGAACAGUGAAAGAGAGAGAGUGGACUCUGACCAAUGUUGUGUCAUAGGACAGAGUUUCUUCACACAAGGCCAUGGAUCCAAAGAGUUUGUGAGCCGUGAUCACUAGCUUUCAUUGUAUGGAAGGAUCUGUGUGAAGGUCUGAAACAACAUGAAGGGUGGUAACCUAAGCUGUCCUGCAUUUGGUGUUUUAAUGUGUCCAUUCCUGUUCUUAAUUGCACUUGGAGGUCACCGGGAUCUAAAGUCACUGGAAGCAGUUAAAAUAAUAGGAGCUGACCACAUGUUGGAGGUUAUGAGAUGUGGCCCCCCGACAUACAGAGAAGCCGCUGCAAACCCUCUGCUGCAACAUUGUUGUUGUGUCUUGCUGACCUGUUUGUUUAAAACUUACACAAAUAUUUGUAUAAACUGAUUUACAGCAAACAUUUGAUGCAAGUUAUUGCUGAUAUAUGAAUGCAAAUACGCAAAACCACAUAAACGAAGCUCUUUCUCCUUUCAUUUUUUAGAUGACUCAGCUACUUUUUGUGUAAUGUAAAGCAGACCGCAUGUCGUUUCUCCAGCCUACCGGUAACCAUGAACGGCUGUGCACUGGAAACAAUUAAGAUUAAUGAUUAAUUGAACUCAUCUAAACCGACCGGCCAAGUCAGCAAACUGUUUUCCAUCUCUUUCCAAAUAUCAACGGGCACCAGCGGGGCCGGUCAUGACAGUGACCCUCAGCGCACAUCUGCGGCCCACGAGUGUCUUCACAUGCAGACGCCACACCUGUCCAAUCCCAGCAUCCCUCACUUAAGCUAAAGCACAUCCCAAAUGACUUCCGAUGAGUCUCUUGACUUGACUUGAACUACACAGCUGGUUUGCAAUAACCACUUCAUCCAUCCUCUAAGGAUUCGAAACGCUGACCGUUUAGCACAUAUCCAAAAUGUAUAUUCCACAGAAGUUACGAAACCAGUUGUUCACUCUGUGUUUAUGCUGAUCUUCUGAAUGGCCCAUGAUUGAACUGUGGGUGUGUGCCAGCUCCUUUCUUUGCUGGUCUAAUUUUUAGCUACUGUUGAAUCCACUGAGCUUCAGAGAACACAAAGGGCUCCUGAACGCGGGCCAGCCCACCCCACAGAUGGUCGGGGGAUCAGAGGCUGUCAGCGCGCUCCAACAAGACAAGCACGGGGCUCAGUCUCCACAGGAGCAUGGUGGGUCUGAAUGGGAGCAUUUCCACUCGCUUCUAUAGCCCCCCACCAUGCAUUUGUAAAAUGAUUUGUGGCAAAUUUGUUGGAUCAAUAUGGAUGCCAGAGGUGGGGCUAAAGCGGAUCUGUUUUUAGCUAGGCUGCGGUAAAGACAUCUGGAGAUCGGAGGUGAUGACAUGUUGACCGUGACAGAAACGCGCUAAGAUGGACAAAACCUGAGGAAGAAAUGUAAUUAGUUGUGAUAGGCUUGGGACAGAGCGAUUGUGUUGGAGGUUACUUGCAUUGGCUAAGAGAGUUCAUGAACCUUUGGAAGCGUGAUGAGGGGGAAAAAAGGAAAAAGGGGCAGGUCAGGGUAGCUGGUUUGGCGAGUUUCACAGUCUUUUUUUUUUUUCUCCAAAUUUAUGUCUUGCCCAUUCUCUUCUGCCAAAAAAAAAAGUACAAAUAAUA